CGCUGGCGGCAUGCCUAACACAUGCAAGUCGAACGAGACCUUCGGGUCUAGUGGCGCACGGGUGCGUAACGCGUGGGAAUCUGCCCUUCGGUUCGGAAUAACUCAGGGAAACUUGAGCUAAUACCGGAUGAUGACUUCGGUCCAAAGAUUUAUCGCCGAGGGAUGAGCCCGCGUAGGAUUAGCUUGUUGGUGGGGUAAUGGCCUACCAAGGCGACGAUCCUUAGCUGGUCUAAGAGGAUGAUCAGCCACACUGGGACUGAGACACGGCCCAGACUCCUACGGGAGGCAGCAGUGGGGAAUAUUGGACAAUGGGCGAAAGCCUGAUCCAGCAAUGCCGCGUGAGUGAUGAAGGCCUUAGGGUUGUAAAGCUCUUUUACCCGGGAUGAUAAUGACAGUACCGGGAGAAUAAGCUCCGGCU
Molecule: ribosomal RNA, 418 nt
Filed under: uncultured bacterium
Lineage: Bacteria
Description: bacterial SSU rRNA
Rfam family: Bacterial small subunit ribosomal RNA
Source: RNAcentral